UCUAAUGUGGCAGAAUAGUGCAAUAAAUUUAAAAUUUAUAUAUAAAUAUAAUUUCUUUAGAA
This 62-nucleotide transfer RNA is filed under the name Oncopodura yosiiana. RNAcentral's name for it is "tRNA-Leu". Lineage: Eukaryota; Metazoa; Arthropoda; Collembola; Entomobryomorpha; Oncopoduridae. The record is from RNAcentral.